Molecule: ribosomal RNA, 475 nt
Filed under: Pteridomonas danica
Lineage: Eukaryota; Dictyochophyceae; Pedinellales
Description: partial Bacterial large subunit ribosomal RNA
Rfam family: Bacterial large subunit ribosomal RNA
Source: RNAcentral
AUAGGUGUAGGCGCAGCGAAAGCGAGUCUUAAUAGGGCGCAUGAGUUCGUGGGAUCAGACCCGAAACCGAGUGAUCUAGCCAUGACCAGGAUGAAGGUACGGUAACACGUACUGGAGGUCCGAACCCACACCUGUUGAAAAAGGUCGGGAUGAGUUGUGGCUAGGGGUGAAAGGCCAAUCAAACUCGGAGAUAGCUGGUUCUCCGCGAAAUCUAUUUAGGUAGAGCGUCAUCCGAAUACCCCGGGGGGUAGAGCACUGGAUGGGUAAUGGGGCCCCACAGGCUUACUGAUCCUAACCAAACUCCGAAUACCCGGGAGUACUAGAUGGCAGACACACGGCGGAUGCUAACGUCCGUCGUGGAGAGGGAAACAACCCUGACCUCCAGCUAAGGCCCCUAAUUCAUGGCUAAGUGGGAAAGCAGGUGGGACGACCAAAACAACCAGGAGGUUGGCUUAGAAGCAGCCAUCCUUUAAAG